Molecule: transfer RNA, 27 nt
Filed under: Lepilemur mustelinus (weasel lemur)
Lineage: Eukaryota; Metazoa; Chordata; Mammalia; Primates; Lepilemuridae
Description: partial tRNA-Gly
Source: RNAcentral
AGCUUCGGUCUUAUCCGAAAAAGAAUA